Molecule: small RNA, 911 nt
Filed under: Pongo abelii (Sumatran orangutan)
Lineage: Eukaryota; Metazoa; Chordata; Mammalia; Primates; Hominidae
Description: processed transcript
Source: RNAcentral
GGUCCGCCAUGUUCUUCUCCGCGGCGCUCCUGGCCCGGGCGGCUGGCCUCACCGCCCACUGGGGAAGACAUGUAAGGAAUUUGCAUAAGACAGCUAUGCAAAAUGGAGCUGGAGGAGCUUUAUUUGUGCACAGAGAUACUCCUGAGAAUAACCCUGAUACUCCAUUUGAUUUCACACCAGAAAAUUAUAAGAGGAUAGAGGCAAUUGUAAAAAACUAUCCAGAAGGCCAUAAAGCAGCAGCUGUUCUUCCAGUCCUGGAUUUAGCCCAAAGGCAGAAUGGGUGGUUGCCUAUCUCUGCUAUGAACAAGGUUGCAGAAGUUUUACAAGUACCUCCAAUGAGAGUAUAUGAAGUAGCAACUUUUUAUACAAUGUAUAAUCGAAAGCCAGUUGGAAAGUAUCACAUUCAGGUCUGCACUACUACACCCUGCAUGCUUCGAAACUCUGACAGCAUACUGGAAGCCAUUCAGAAAAAGCUUGGAAUAAAGAUUGGGGAGACUACACCUGACAAACUUUUCACUCUUAUAGAAGUGGAAUGUUUAGGGGCCUGUGUGAACGCACCAAUGGUUCAAAUAAAUGACAAUUACUAUGAGGAUUUGACAGCUAAGGAUAUUGAAGAAAUUAUUGAUGAGCUCAAGGCUGGCAAAAUCCCAAAACCUGGGCCAAGGAGUGGACGCUUCUCUUGUGAGCCAGCUGGAGGUCUUACCUCUUUGACUGAACCACCCAAGGGACCUGGAUUUGGUGUACAAGCAGGCCUUUAAUUUAUAUUGAACUAUCCAGGAUGAGAAGACUGAUAAAAGAAGCUAGCUGAACAGCUAUAAAAUGCCCAAAUCUGGGUUCACAAAACCAGUUCAGAGUGAAAAUUCUGACAGUGACAGCAAUAUGGUAGAGAAACCAUAUGGAAGAAAGGUAUA